Molecule: long non-coding RNA, 424 nt
Organism: Neocloeon triangulifer
Lineage: Eukaryota; Metazoa; Arthropoda; Insecta; Ephemeroptera; Baetidae
Exons: 2
Source: RefSeq, a predicted model, not a curated record
UUAACACCGAGUGCAGACUGGCCGAGUGCAAAAAGCGGUGUGCCGCGCCGUCUAGUGCAAAGUGGCUCUGCACAUGGUGAAGCACACGGCUUUUGCACACGUUCCUCUUUCAGUAUAAAUGAGCGCUCGUCGCCUCAGACUAACAUAACGACAACAAGCCCCUUCUCCACAACCAAGAAACCGAAGAACCAAAACAAACCUCAAGAUGCCCAAGCCUUGCUGCGACAAUUGCGCCCAGACCUGCCAAGGUGGAGCCGACGGCUGCAAAUGCAGUGGCACCUGCGGAUGCAAAGGAGGCUGCAAAUGCUGUGCUGAGAAGAAAUGAAGAAUUUACUUCAGAAUGAUGGCGAUUUCAACUUGACUGAAUUUUUCUAUUGAUUUGUAUUGAUAAUGUGUUGAAUAAAUAAUUUCAAUAUUUAAAUAA